Alosa sapidissima (American shad) is the source of this 1106-nucleotide long non-coding RNA. RefSeq lists it as uncharacterized. The record is from RefSeq and is a predicted model, not a curated record. NCBI's taxonomy places the organism in Eukaryota, Metazoa, Chordata, Actinopteri, Clupeiformes, Clupeidae. The transcript is spliced from 2 exons.
AUUAGCUCCUUUUGAGAAAAACUCCUCUGUGCCCCUCCCUGGUGGGACUCGAGCCUGCGACUCUGGGGUCCAGGAGCGAGUUCCCUACCACUACGCCAGGGAAUCUACCCUUUACUCUGUUUUACCCUCUCCAUAUUAGUCAAACAUACCCUAACACUUUUUACUUAAUAUUUCACUUUUAGGUCCUCUCUUUUAUCUUCUAACCCUGUUUCACCUUCUUACUACUUUUAUUUAUUUUAUUUAUUUAAACCUAUUUAUAAAUGCUUUUUGCACAGUUGGUCAGACGGGCCUCGAACCUGUGCCCUUCUCCCUUCCAGUCUGGCCUCUUAGCCACUACACCCCUGAGGACCUCUUAAGUAGAGCCUUUACACUCUACCUCAACUUCACUUUUUACACUUAGAACUACAAUUCCCAACCACCUUAGCUUCCCUCCAUUUGCAGACCAAUUUCAAAUGCCCCAAUCACAGACAGCCACAUACUCUCAUUUAGAUUGACUCACACUACAUCCAACCAACACCCUUCUUCCCAGAAACAAACCCCUUCCUCUUCCUAACUCCCCCCCUCAUUUCUAACUGAAAUACCAAACACACCAGCACUAGGCACUUUCUCCUCUGAUGCAGGAUUAGUUAUCCGAAACGUCAGGAGUUUUCCAAGGAGCAACACGGUAUUUCUGCUUUUAUUCCUUACUAGUUAAUCCAAUUGGUUUUAAAUUAUUUGAAAUAAAGAUUGGCUUUUAAAUUUUAACAAACACUGUAAGAGGACUACCCUAUCCACCUGCCUGACCACAUGGAUUAGCAUGCUAGCACAUAUCUGGACUGUUUGCUAUACACCUGGCUGUCAAGACUGUGCUCUCUUUCAUGAACUUGGACUGCAACCUCACUCUUUUGGAGGUAACCUGAGCAAUCUACCAUCUGGAACACUACUCUGUGGAUCUUUAACAUCAAACCCAACACAAGCAUGAGGUAUGCGAACCUAGGUCUGCGCUACAGGUUCCACCCAAGUGGGAGGGGUAGACCCAGGACAGUCCAAACCAUCAAGGGUGAUGAUGAGCAAGGGAAACAAAAAAGCUAACCAGCUUACAAAACCCAAUGCUGAGCCCUCCACCU